Cricetulus griseus (Chinese hamster) is the source of this 1118-nucleotide non-coding RNA. The record is from RefSeq and is a predicted model, not a curated record. Lineage: Eukaryota; Metazoa; Chordata; Mammalia; Rodentia; Cricetidae.
UUUAACUCUUUCUACCAUGUGAAGCCAAAAAAAGGGCAGGGGGUGAAGAAGCUGUAACCAGAUUAUCAGAUGGACUGGCACCUUGGUCUUGAACUUUUCAGCUUUAUGAACUCCUGGCAAGAGAGGGAUGUCUCACCUCCCAGUUCCUGGAUCAUCAGAGGGUGCUUCAUGCUUCUGCAAUACAGAAUAACAUCACACAUCUACAUUACCUCUUUCCUGGCAUAAAUUCACCAGAGAUCCUGGCACAAGUCCACCAGAGAAAUCUGUUUGCUAUUCUAAAAUAAUAUGGAUAUCAUCCCAGAAUUAAUUUCAGAGAGCAGAAUUGAGCAUAUUCGUAGAUUUUAGAGGGUCAUUUUCUCCAGCCUUUUUUUAUGGAUAAAACUUAAAGAUCUUGUUAUAAAAGUCUUCAGGGAAAAGCAAUUCUCUGAGAAAUCUCACUUCAGAAUUACCUCAUCUGAAUGCUAUCUGUUGCCAUAUGUUUCUUUGGCCUGGAUUCCAUUCAGUGAGGUACAUUCUUCUGAGAGAAACCAAGUGAAGAGCAGGGAGGAUGCCAGUCAUCAAAUGUCGAUGGCCUGUGUCAAUUCUUAUUCAGAUUUUUAAAGCGACAAGAAAUUGUCUCUUGUUUUAUUGCUUUAAAGCCACAAAGAAGGCAACAUGAUUAAGAUCUAUAAACCCUGAGUCCCUAUUUUUGCUGUGAAAAUAUUGCCUCCUUCUUUUCCUUGAAAAAGCCCAACUCUUUUCCUGCUCACAACCUAUUUUCAGUCUAAAAUACAUGUUCUGACUAAUUUUCUUAUGUUCAUAUCAUGUUUCAUGACUUCUUUGCUUCUCAUUACCUCAUGGGGAUUGGACCUUGUUGUGAAAACUGAAAAUAUUUUUUUAAAAAAAUAUAACAUGUGGGACACCAUAGUCUCUGACCAGUAGUGUGUAUCCACUGUGGAAAGACCAUGAAAGAGAUGGGGUGGGGGGAGAACAUAAACUAAAACAAUGGGUAAAUAAACAUGCAAAGUCUUCACCUUUACCUGAAAACAAACUGAUGGUGGAGAAAUUUAAAUGACAAAGGUUUCAUACCUGCAAUGUUACAAUCCAAUUCAUACAAUUCAUAAAAAUGGAUUUAUGGA